UCCACUUCGGUAGAGCUCCAGUUGAGCACAC
This 31-nucleotide non-coding RNA is filed under the name Mus musculus (house mouse). The record is from RNAcentral. Lineage: Eukaryota; Metazoa; Chordata; Mammalia; Rodentia; Muridae.